CAGCCGCCGCGGUAAUACGAAGGGGGCUAGCGUUGUUCGGAUUUACUGGGCGUAAAGCGCACGUAGGCGGAUCGAUCAGUCAGGGGUGAAAUCCCAGAGCUCAACUCUGGAACUGCCUUUGAUACUGUCGAUCUGGAGUAUGGAAGAGGUGAGUGGAAUUCCGAGUGUAGAGGUGAAAUUCGUAGAUAUUCGGAGGAACGCCAGUGGCGAAGGCGGCUCACUGGUCCAUUACUGACGCUGAGGUGCGAAAGCGUGGGGAGCAAACAGGAUUAGAUACCCCAGUAGUCCCUGUCUCUUAUAC
This 301-nucleotide ribosomal RNA is filed under the name uncultured bacterium. Its description in RNAcentral is "partial 16S ribosomal RNA". It matches the Rfam family "Bacterial small subunit ribosomal RNA", at positions 509 to 807 of the family's 1533-position model. The record is from RNAcentral.